UAAGGAAAGACAUGGAUUGGCUGUUAGAAAGACAGUGUGCCUUUAAUGACUGUGAUUUUAUAAUAAGGUGAGUUAUCAGCAAAUAAUCACUUAUCUUCCUGGGAGCAGAAGGUUAAAAUCAAAGUGCUAAAUUGACCUCAAACAGAUUAGGAGGAAUCCGUCUCUCAGAGCUUCAAAAAGCCUCUGUCAUUUCGUCUCUACCACAGCCCUCUCCCAUUGCUUUCUCCAAGCCAAAACCCCCCAAAAUUUACAUAAACACACUUCUACAGAACCAAACAAAAUAUCCUUGGAUUUCCAUGUUUCAUCAUUUCCAACUACGAGUGAUUUCUGGGUGUCUCUAUUUUUGGGGCCCAAACGGAGGUAGCUUAGAGAUGUUUGGUUUCUAUAGGGGCAUGUGCCUAGCCCUGUUUGGAUAUCGGGUCCUUUUUUAGUGUUUUAAGUUGAGAACUAGAGAUCUGAGGCACCAAGUUAUGGGUGUCUUUGGAAAUUUGGCAUUAAUUACCUAUUCAUUAUGAAAAGCUGCCCUUGAAAACAAAAGUCCUCGCAUUACUAAAGCGCUGCACUUUUUCCAUUCUUAAUUUACUUUCUGUCCUAGUGGGAUAUGCCUCCUAUGAGUCCUUAAUAGGAGAAAAAGAAAAAAAGAGGAGACAGCUGAGAAGGGAUAGCAUAAAUGAAUUUGUAGCUGGCCUUAGGGAGAAGACUAGCAGGGAAGGAUCCAUAUAACAAAUAGUUUCACUGCAUUGGCCUGGUAAGAAAUAUAAGACAUGGAAGGGGCUUGUCCAUUUAUACCCACUUUAGUUCGAUAUGACUUCUCUGCCUGUAAUGAAGUGCGAUCAAUAUGCAGUCUAACACAUUCUUUGAGUAACGCACAGAACAUUGCCCUUGCCCCAUUUCUGCUGAUAACUUAGCAAGUGGAGAAAUCCAGAGCCUGCUUGUGUCCCUAAGGACAAGAGUGGCUAAUGGCUUUACAUACUUAGAAAUUAGGCUGUCUGAGGCUAAGGACAUUAAUCUGGAAUUUAGGGCACAAUAAUUAAUUACAAACCAAGACCUUAAAUUAAUGAACUUUUACUGGGCAGUUAUUAAUAAAAGGGAGAGAUUAACAUUGGAGAUUAUUAAUAGUGGAGAUUUAGCCUGGAUUUUAUUUCUUGAAAUGUUUUAAUACAGAAUUGUUGGUAACAACCAAGGGACUUCAGUUUUUUCAUUUGAACUGUUGAAAGCUGAGAAAUUAACUCUACUCUUUCCAGAGACAAUGCCUUUACCAUCAUCCCCCCCAAAAAGAAUUUCAGAUUUAAAUAUUGGAAUUUGAAAUUCUGUUGUCAUUGUCUCUUUGGACAAAUGACCAGUCACUUGACUUUUGCAAAGUUUCCUUUAUUUUCACAGAAGUUGAUGGUACAAUAUUUCAAGCUGUUUUCCACAACCCUUCAUCCUGCUACCUAGCAGUGGAGGCUGAAGGCAUGUAAAAGCAGUGCUGAGGCACAAUUCUGCCAGCUGCACAUUGCACUCACCAGCCAUUUCACUGCAGUGGGAGAAGAUGUUUCCCUCCUCAGGAAAGGGACAAGGGACACAUUCAGGUGGGAGAGAGCAAUCUGGAGUCAACUGCCUGGAAGGCUGAUGUUGCAUGAAGUGACUGAACAAACAGCUUAUAGAGUGACCAAAUCCAGUUCUUUUAUCUGAACAGUGAGCUCUCUGUUUUUAUUUUUAGCAUGUCAUCAACAAAGUCAUCUCUCUCUUUAUUCUUCAGCUGCUGCAUGGAUGAAGGCAACUUUUGGAUGUUAGUAAAUAA
Alligator mississippiensis (American alligator) is the source of this 1783-nucleotide long non-coding RNA. RefSeq lists it as uncharacterized. The record is from RefSeq and is a predicted model, not a curated record. NCBI's taxonomy places the organism in Eukaryota, Metazoa, Chordata, Crocodylia, Alligatoridae. The transcript is spliced from 3 exons.